UGUAAGCGUAUACCAAAGUUGUUGCAGUUAAAACGCUCGUAGUCGGAAUUUGGCAGUUCCGGAUGUGUGCACGUCGUGUGCGCACUUCGCGGGGAUUGCUUUUGUGGUCUUGCGUAGGAUGAGGCACUUUUAUUAGUGAACGUCCUCACGCAACCACUUUUUACUGUGAGAAAAUCAGAGUGCUCAAAGCAGGCAUUUGCCGUGAAUGUAUUAGCAUGGAAUAAUAGAAUAGGACUUGGUUCUAUUUUGUUGGUUUGUUGGGACUGAGUAAUGAUUAAGAGGGACGGUUGGGGGCAUUUGUAUUUCGGUGCUAGAGGUGAAAUUCUUAGAUUACCGAAAGACAAACUGCUGCGAAAGCGUCUGCCAAGGAUGUUUUCAUUGA
This 382-nucleotide ribosomal RNA is filed under the name uncultured eukaryote. Its description in RNAcentral is "partial 18S ribosomal RNA". It matches the Rfam family "Eukaryotic small subunit ribosomal RNA", at positions 592 to 976 of the family's 1831-position model. The record is from RNAcentral.